RNAcentral lists this ribosomal RNA (459 nucleotides) under uncultured bacterium. RNAcentral describes it as "partial 16S ribosomal RNA". It matches the Rfam family "Bacterial small subunit ribosomal RNA", at positions 338 to 795 of the family's 1533-position model. The record is from RNAcentral.
CCUACGGGAGGCUGCAGUGAGGAAUAUUGGUCAAUGGCCGGAAGGCUGAACCAGCCAAGCCGCGUGAAGGACGAAGGUGCCAAGCAUUGUAAACUUCUUUUGCCAAGGGACAACAUCAUGCUCGAGAGCCUGACCGCGGGUACUUGAAGAAAAAGCAUCGGCUAACUCCGUGCCAGCAGCCGCGGUAAUACGGAGGAUGCGAGCGUUAUCCGGAUUUAUUGGGCUUAAAGGGUGCGUAGGCGGGCGGUUAAGUCAGCGGUAAAAGCGCGGGGCUCAACCCCGGCGCGCAGUUGAAACUGGAUGUCUUGAGAUGACGAGAGGCAGGCGGAAUGCGGGGUGUAGCGGUGAAAUGCAUAGAUAUUGCGCAGAACCCCGAUUGCGAAGGCAGCCUGCCGGGGGGGGUCUGACGCUGAGGCACGAAAGUGUGGGUAUCGAACAGGAUUAGAUACCCGAGUAGUC